This 1323-nucleotide long non-coding RNA is filed under the name Nicotiana benthamiana. RNAcentral's name for it is "long non-coding RNA (NBEN_LNC028140)". The record is from RNAcentral. Lineage: Eukaryota; Viridiplantae; Streptophyta; Magnoliopsida; Solanales; Solanaceae.
GUCAAUUGAUCUGUCAACACUAUAUUCUUUUCACCCUCUUUUGGUCAGUUUAAGAGUUAUUCUUUUAUAACCUCUACCACAAAGCUUUUGCCCAGGUUCUUUCUCCGCUGGUCAUGGGCACGUCGUUGAUCUCUUUCAUUACUUCCGAGUCAAAGAGUCUGUUUAUCUCAAUGUAUGGUAUGAGUUUGAGCGUCAAACAGCUUUGGUGAGUAAAGCUACUUUUGUGAUUUAUCUCUUAUACCUAUACUUUUUAUAAUUAGCUGUCAGGCUUUAAAUAAGUAGCAUUUGUUUUCUGAUAAUUCACUUCCUCGAGCUGAGAAUUUCUCCUAGAUCAAGCUUGAGAUGUAGUUUAAAUAUACUAUAGGCACUGUCCUCACUGUUAUAAGAUAGUUUUCACCAGCGUUCAAGAUCUUUAUGCCAAAUUUUUUAUGUGAUUGAUGUCAUAUAUCCUACUUAAGCUUCUUGUCAUGCUUAAUCUCUAAAGUUUGUUUAAACUAAUAUAGAAGUUAUGUAUUCUUGUCAAAUACUGAUAAAUGUAAGAAAUGUGAUUGGUUUGAAUUUGACAAUAUGAGAAAGUACACAAACUGAUUAGGACGGCAAAGAAAAAUUAGGAGCAGCUUCAAACAAUAUGAGAAUGUGAUGACUAACCUGUUCCAUUCCAUUCUUGUAUGUGACCACUUCCUGCAGUUUUCAACCAUUGACCAGUUAACUGUGUAGAGUAGUAAGAGCAAAAGUUGACGGGAAUGGCACGUACCACAGCUCCAGAGGCAAUAAUGUAGAAAUCUGUUGGUAUCUCAAUUUGAAUAACAAUGUCAACUUUUGGUGGAAAGUAUUCUGCUUUUAUCUCUGAAACCUGUAAGAUCAAAAGACAAAGGACAUAGCUUAGUUAUUGGUGCUGUAUAGGUUAAAAAUUCUGGUUUUAGUAGGCAGGUAAGAGAAUGUAUCACCAACUGGACUAAGAAGUCUUCAGAAACCCCUUUGAAAAGAUAGGUAUUUCCAAUGGUUGUAUGGAAGAGAUAUUGUGCAAUGCCACACCUUAUUGCUUUGGGCAAAUCUCCUAUUACUUCCUCUUGCUGUAGUUCUGCAGUCUUGAAUUUGAGUGUCAAAUGUGCCAAAACUUGUUCUUUUAUGCCUUCUGGAAGUAUAUUCUUGCUUGCAUAUCUCAGUGUCUUAUUAAUGGCGUCCCACUGCAAUUAAAAGCUGAUUAUUAUAUUGUUCUAAACAUGCUCUCUUCACUGAGACUUGAGAUGUGGAUAACAUUACUGUAUUCUCAUUUUUCUUUAAGGUGUCAUUACCAUUGCGAAGGUUCGAGCAACGCCAUGG